GUGGGGAAUAUUGGACAAUGGGCGCAAGCCUGAUCCAGCCAUGCCGCGUGGAUGAUGAAGGCCUUAGGGUUGUAAAGUCCUUUUAACGGGGAAGAUAAUGACGGUACCCGUAGAAUAAGCCCCGGCUAACUUCGUGCCAGCAGCCGCGGUAAUACGAAGGGGGCUAGCGUUGCUCGGAAUCACUGGGCGUAAAGCGCACGUAGGCGGAUCUUUAAGUCGGAGGUGAAAUCCUGGAGCUCAACUCCAGAACUGCCUUCGAUACUGAGGGUCUCGAGUCCGGGAGAGGUGAGUGGAACUGCGAGUGUAGAGGUGAAAUUCGUAGAUAUUCGCAAGAACACCAGUGGCGAAGGCGGCUCACUGGCCCGGUACUGACGCUGAGGUGCGAAAGCGUGGGGAGCAAACAGGAUUAGAUACCCCGGUAGUCC
This 425-nucleotide ribosomal RNA is filed under the name uncultured bacterium. RNAcentral's name for it is "bacterial SSU rRNA". It matches the Rfam family "Bacterial small subunit ribosomal RNA", at positions 354 to 796 of the family's 1533-position model. The record is from RNAcentral.